This 210-nucleotide ribosomal RNA is filed under the name Triticum aestivum (bread wheat). Its description in RNAcentral is "partial small subunit ribosomal RNA". Lineage: Eukaryota; Viridiplantae; Streptophyta; Magnoliopsida; Poales; Poaceae. The record is from RNAcentral.
AUGCUGGAAAAGUACUCAUUGAGGAAACAUCCGUACCUGACACAAAUAUAUGAAGUGCGACACAAGUGGGCAAAGCCGUAUUUCAUGGGGUUUUUUUGCGCCAAAAUGACAAGCACCCAGCGCAGCGAGAGUGCUAAUCACCUGCUGAAAGGAUAUGUGCCACCAGGAUGUCCAAUGCAUCUAUUCAUCAGACAGUAUGAGAAGCUCUAG